UACGUAGGUGGCAAGCGUUGUCCGGAAUUAUUGGGCGUAAAGCGCGCGCAGGCGGUUAUGUAAGUCUGAUGUUAAAGCCCGGGGCUCAACCUCGGGUCGCAUUGGAAACUGUGUAACUUGAGUGCAGAAGAGGAAAGUGGUAUUCCACGUGGAGCGGUGAAAUUCGUAGAUAUGUGGAGGAACACCAGUGGCGAAGGCGACUUUCUGGUCUGUAACUGACGCGGAGGCGCGAAAGCGUGGGGAGCAAACAGG
Molecule: ribosomal RNA, 252 nt
Filed under: uncultured bacterium
Lineage: Bacteria
Description: partial 16S ribosomal RNA
Rfam family: Bacterial small subunit ribosomal RNA
Source: RNAcentral